RNAcentral lists this non-coding RNA (22 nucleotides) under Arabidopsis thaliana (thale cress). Lineage: Eukaryota; Viridiplantae; Streptophyta; Magnoliopsida; Brassicales; Brassicaceae. The record is from RNAcentral.
GGACUAAUCCCUCAGCGGUCUA